CAUCCAUACAACCAAGGAGGAGUAAUUCACUUUACCAAGAAGAAAUCUAAGACUAGGAAGUUAAAUGUCACUGUGAAAAAUUCAUACAGGAAACACUGAAGCUCAGACCUUGUGCAUCUGGCGUCAGGAAACAGUACCCGAAACCAUGUGAGACUGGAGGGCGCACAGACACCUUGGGUGUUGCUGGCCAAGAAUCAGGAGGCAUCGUGUGUCCCUGCAGGUGUCAGCACUGGUGAUGACACCUGAGUACCGGACUCUCCCCUUCACACCAAGAUGCUAUCUAAUACUCAUGGUAACUGGAUGCCAUCCGGAGGAUGAGCAAGAAGAGAAUUAACUCCUUGCUGACUGAGUUUCCUAGAGAUAACUGCAGGUUUGUUGCCAUGCCAUGUGUGUGCAUUAUUUAUUGAUGGAACAGGGAGGAAAGUGACACGGAAAGAAGUUUUCUGUGACUGGUCAGCCUGUUGAUGGUACGUCAGUCAGCUUGUAUCACAGCCGUGAAAUCCCUGGACACAGCCUACUCAUCAAGCAAAAGCAAGCUUUACUUAGGUUCAUGUUUCCAGGAGUUCAAGUCCAAGAUGGGUGGCCUCAUUGAUUUGGGUCUUUGACAAAGGUGGUAGAGCAUCAAGGAGCUGACAGAAAAAAAAAAGGCAGAGACUGUGAGGACCCACAGCUCCUUCACGAGCACAGCUCUAGGGACCCAAGGACCUUCGGCGAGGCCUCAUCUCCGCCCGGUCCACGCCGCCACCAGUGCCGCCGCCCUGGGGACCGGGUGUCUCUAAACCGUCCUCUGACAAUGCUCAUCCGCACCACAGCUCCAGACACUGAGGAGACGCUAAAGAAAUGAGAAACAGGUUCCUGCUCGUGUAGACCACAGGGUGUUCUGGUUAAGUUUAGCCUGAAUUAUGAGAGAAGAAAUGUGAUUUUUAAAAUUCAAAAA
Molecule: long non-coding RNA, 937 nt
Organism: Chinchilla lanigera (long-tailed chinchilla)
Lineage: Eukaryota; Metazoa; Chordata; Mammalia; Rodentia; Chinchillidae
Exons: 3
Source: RefSeq, a predicted model, not a curated record